RNAcentral lists this ribosomal RNA (83 nucleotides) under Micromonospora sp. HM5-17. Lineage: Bacteria; Bacillati; Actinomycetota; Actinomycetes; Micromonosporales; Micromonosporaceae. The record is from RNAcentral.
GUCGGUGGUCAAUAGCUGCAGGGAAACGCCCGGUCCCAUUCCGAACCCGGAAGCUAAGCCUGCACACGCUGAUGGUACUGCAA